GUUCAUUCUAUACUUAACUGAUUUUGUUCAUUUUCUUUAUAGAAGAAAGACAUGACUAUGUGCGUUUGCUUUCAUCGUUAGCAUAGCGCAACAGUAGCAAAAAUGAAAGAGGUUUUUCUGAGCAUGAAAAUGCUAACGCUAGGUCUGACAUUAAAACUAUUAUUUCACUCAAACUGUGAACAGAUGUUUGUGUUAAACCAGGGAAUCAAAUCAUUUGGUCCCUGUUGAA
Long non-coding RNA from Cynoglossus semilaevis (tongue sole), 229 nucleotides. RefSeq lists it as uncharacterized. The transcript has 2 exons. NCBI's taxonomy places the organism in Eukaryota, Metazoa, Chordata, Actinopteri, Pleuronectiformes, Cynoglossidae. The record is from RefSeq and is a predicted model, not a curated record.